This is a long non-coding RNA of Dipodomys ordii (Ord's kangaroo rat), 1297 nucleotides long. RefSeq lists it as uncharacterized. The record is from RefSeq and is a predicted model, not a curated record. The transcript has 4 exons. NCBI's taxonomy places the organism in Eukaryota, Metazoa, Chordata, Mammalia, Rodentia, Heteromyidae.
GAGUGACCGUGGGGACGGGACGGAGGCCUCUUUCCUGGUGACCCCGGGGACCGGCCCUCACCCUGUGGGUCUGCCUCCCUGGACCACAGGUCCUGGCACUCCCGGUCCUGGCUGGCCGGAAGCUCAGAGCUCUGUCCUAGGGACGGGCGGCGUGCUGGUCUCUGCGGGCUGUCAACACCGUGUGUCUCAUCUCAUCUUUGGUUGUGCAUCUGUUCGACGCCAACUAGGGCAUUCAUGUUUGAGCACUGCCCACCCGUCCCAGCGGGCAGCCUCCGUCCUUCAGCGCUGGACCUCAGUGGUGUGUGCAGGAGUGAAUCCCCCAUGACUGGGGGAGAUCUGCCCCACGCCCGAGCCCAGGGCAGUGCCUGGGCAGACGCAGCGGGGACUGUCCCCUGUCCUUCUCCGUGUGUGGCCCUUGCCCUACACUUCUGGGCCUGCUCUUCUGUCUUCGGGUAUGCAGGCUGCCCAUCUGCUCUCACCGGGCUAGAAAUCUUCGGUGUGUUUGCCAUCUGCCAAUCUAGGCUGGGUCCCCUCCUGUAGAGACAAGUCUCAACACUCUGGAGUUGUCUGAAACUCCAGCUGCAAACUCUCACCUGAGGCUGUAACGGAAGGAACGCCCCGUGAUUGAGACACAGAGAUGGCGCAGCGGACCUCUGCCUCACCCCGGUCUCCAGCUCCAGCAGCUUUUCCGCUUGAGACACCCACUUCAGCCAGACCUGGCACUGCACCCACACUUGACACCCCUGUGCACAGAGAAUGCAUCUGCCCCCCUAGAAGCCUUUGCCUGUAUCCGUGUCCGGCACAGCCCACCGAACUCCGCAGCUCUUUAACCUGUUCUUCGCCUUGCCUAUGUCUGUCACUGGAUAAAGCACGAUGUGUGAUCUGAGAGUUCAUGUUAGUUGUUAAAGCUGUGGUGUCAGUGGCCCCGGCUAGUAAGUGGACUCAGGGGUGCUCGCCAAAUUAAAGCCAAUGAGCUGGAUGCAAGGGCCAAUUUACUGUUGCUUAACCAGUUCUGACUGUGUGGAGACACACAGUGUGUCUGUUUCUGACCUAGCUUGCUCAUGACAACCACACCCUGGUACUGCCUUGAUUGUCCCAAAGGCUUGGCUGUGAAGGCCAAAGGAAGUCCGGCCGCUUGUGAUGUUCUCUCUGUGGUGGUGUGUGCGAGCUUCCUUUCAAAGCCGUGGAGUAGUCCAUCCCCAGACGUGGCACUUCCGUUCUGCCCCUCCCCCGAUGGACAGCUUCCACCGUUGGCACUGUUUCCUCCUACUCCUACUCGCGUGACAAUAAAUUGAGA